UUGCUCAGGUGUAGAUGUGUCUAACAUCCUCGGGGAGGCUCAUCACAGGAAUAUCCCAUGACAUGACCAUACUCCUGUAUUGAAUCAGCACUAAAAUGGGCUCUGACACCAAGGACACGCCGCUUCCCACCCCUCACACACCCCUUGGGGCCGCAGCAGGCCCAAGCCCCUCAGGGUAGCUCAGAGUAAGGUGAGGGUCCAGGGACCGGCCCUUGGCUGCUCCCCAGGGAUGGAGAAAAGGGUUGGGAACACCCCAAAGCAGACCCUGGCACCACGGGGAGAGCCACCCUGCCAUCUCCUUAGGGCCUGGCAAUGCCGGGGGCGGGAAGAAGGGACACCCCCCCCCGCUCAGUGCCUGACAGGAGAGGGACCGCCAUCUCCACAGAGCCUGCAAACACCGUGGGAGGGCUGGGACCCGAAGAAGGGACUUUCCCCUUCGCUCAGCGCCUGAGGGGAGAGGCGCUGCCAUCUCCUCAGCGCCGGGAAACGCCACGACCGCUGAGCUUUGGGACUAGAGGGGGAACAUAAACCCUACAGGAGCCUUCCCCCGGCCCCAGGGCCUGAUGGAAAGGACAGACUGAGGGGGAAAAAAACAGGGGGGAGAGCCCGGGGCUGCUCGUGCUGAGGCGCGGGCAUGGCGCCUCCAUCCCCCGCUCUCCUCAGGGACGGCGCCGCCCCGAGCGGUCGACGAGGCGGGGAAGGAGCCGGGGCCGGGGGGGGGGGGAGAUGGGGCAGCGGCCCCGGCUACCGCGGCAACAGGCGGCCACCGCCGGCCCGGUGCCGCUCCCCUCAGCGCGGUGGGCGGCCAAAGGGCGACCCCCGCAGCGCUCCUCGCUCCUACCCAGCCACCCGCACCCCCCUCACUCACCCCCGGGCGCGUUUCUCCCCGGGAAAUGGCCUCCACAGCUCGCCCAGAAAUUUUGAAAGCAAAACUUGGACCGGUUGUGAUGUUUGA
This 955-nucleotide long non-coding RNA is filed under the name Anas platyrhynchos platyrhynchos (common mallard). RNAcentral describes it as "lncRNA (ENSAPLG00000025929.1)". Lineage: Eukaryota; Metazoa; Chordata; Aves; Anseriformes; Anatidae. The record is from RNAcentral.